This 87-nucleotide transfer RNA is filed under the name Acidobacteriota bacterium. RNAcentral's name for it is "Acidobacteria bacterium tRNA-Leu". It matches the Rfam family "tRNA". From Rfam's summary of the family: Transfer RNA (tRNA) molecules are approximately 80 nucleotides in length. The record is from RNAcentral. Lineage: Bacteria; Pseudomonadati; Acidobacteriota.
GCGAGAGUGGCGAAACUGGCAGACGCGCCAGACUUAGGAUCUGGUCCCCGCAAGGGGUUGGGGGUUCGACUCCCCCCUCUCGCACCA